This 163-nucleotide unclassified non-coding RNA is filed under the name uncultured fungus. RNAcentral describes it as "sequence contains ITS2". The record is from RNAcentral. Lineage: Eukaryota; Fungi.
UCAACCAUCAAGCCUGGCUUGUCGUUGGACCCCUUUGUGGCUGAAAUACGCGGCAGGUUCAAAAGAUAAUGACGGCGUCGUGUUUGACCCUAGAUGCAACGAGCUUUUUAAUAGCACGCAUUGAAGUGGUCGAUCGACCCGGUCUUUAACCAUCAUUUUCUAA